Molecule: long non-coding RNA, 1294 nt
Organism: Cavia porcellus (domestic guinea pig)
Lineage: Eukaryota; Metazoa; Chordata; Mammalia; Rodentia; Caviidae
Exons: 2
Source: RefSeq, a predicted model, not a curated record
CGGGUCUGCGGGGACACGGGCGGGUGAGCGCCUGCGGCCGCGGAGGCGGGGAGCGCACCCCGAGCCACCCCGAGGCACCCCGAGGCCGCACUGCCACCGCAGCGCCUGCCUCGCCUGCAAGAUCAGUGCCACGCUCCCGCAGGGACGCGUGUGAGGGGCAGCGUCGGGGGCCCAGGUCUAACAAGGAGGUUCAGACUACAGUCAAGAUCAAAGUGCCAAACCAUCAGAAUACAAAACAGCUGCAAGAAUAAUUAAUCUUACUGUUUACUUGGAUGCGAUAAAUACUUUAUUAGAAAAGGACCCAGAGAUAAGAAGCAAUUAAAGUGAUUGUCAAGUAUUAUGUUCUGAUACGAAGCCCAGGCAUCUGCGUCCAGCUAGAGAUAAUUUUAGCCAGGCCCUUUCGGUUUCUGGCUACACAAUCACUGAGAAGCUGAGGGACUGUUAGGAUUUUGUCGAAUAGGAGAAAAACGUAGAGCCACGCCACGAGUCUUGGACAUUCCCCACAUCAAGCAUCACCAUCUCCGCAUCUUCCUAACUCCCUGUCCUGGCUGUGUCGCCAUCCGUCAGUUCCAGUCUCCCCCAGCAGCCUGACUGAUGCCUUCCUAAGCUGGCAGACAGGAGGUCCCAGGGAAUCGUCCCCCCUGACCACAGGGCCACUGCUGCAUCAGCUUGACAUACUUGGGCAAGUUAACUGGCCCCUCAGAGCAGGGUGAACCUGAACACUUUUGCGUCUCGUGAGACAGGAGGAACCCCUUUUGCACCACCGCGACAGAGGCGAAGGGCCCCUCAGCGUCCUCCUGAAAGCAGUCACUGCUGCCUCCAAGUGUGGGCGCCAAGGGUAUCGCGGCAGAGCUUUGCCAGCGCUGCGGGACCUCAGGCUCCAUCUGACCUACGGAGCCAGCUAAGCAUUCUGUGCCAUAUUAGCGGGCUUUAUGUCCCUACUGUCUGAGAAGAGCUGGGCUGAGGUGCACCAAAAUAGAACAGUAAUAACACAGCGCACUUAUUAAUUUUAUUCCGCAUCUGACACUGUGCCGAGGAUUCGGAAGACCUCAUUUCCAGUGCAGUGGAAACAGGACGAGGGCAAACUUUGAGCUCUCCCUGCAGUAACCGCAGGGCUGAGGACGGCGCCCAGCUGGGCUCAGCAAGACCUUGGUUCAUUCUACCAACCGCCCUGUGGAGCUGCUCUGGAAUCUCUGGGUGAGAAUUUAAAUAAUGUGACAAAGGUUUUCUUUGAUAAAUAAAAAGCAGUCAAGAAAGGGUCUCAAACCCGGGUCCAAGCAUUGCAAAAACCCAA